GUCUACCGUCAUAUCAUCCUGAACAUACCCAAUCUCGUCUGAUCUUGGAAGCUAAGCAGGGUCAGGCCUGGUUAGUACUUAAGAUGGCAGACC
Ribosomal RNA from Rhinopithecus bieti (black snub-nosed monkey), 93 nucleotides. NCBI's taxonomy places the organism in Eukaryota, Metazoa, Chordata, Mammalia, Primates, Cercopithecidae. The record is from Ensembl.